AGUGGCAGACGGGUGAGUAACGCGUAGGAAUCUACCCCUGGGAAUCGAAUAGCUCUCCGAAAGGAGAGGUAAUACGGUAUGGUCUCGCAAGAGUAAAGGACUUAACGGUCCGCCGAGGGAGGAGCCUGCGUCCUAUCAGCUAGUUGGCGGGGUAAAUGCCCACCAAGGCGAUGACGGGUAGCUGGACUGAGAGGUCGAUCAGCCACAACUGCACUGAGACACGGGCAGUACACCUACGGGUGGCAGCAACUGGGAAUAUUGCGCAAUGGGCGAAAGCCUGACGCAGCGACGCCGCGUGGAGGAAGACGGCCUUCGGGUUGUAAACUCCUUUUGCCAAGCCUUUCACGGCUUGGAGAAUAAGCUCCUACUAACUACGUGCCAGAAGUCUCGGUAAUACGUAGGGAGUAAGCAUUAUCCGGAUUCAUUGGGCGUAAAGUGUGAGUAGGCGUCUCUUCAAGUCUUUGCUUAAAUACCGGGGCUUACCCCCGGACCUGGCUAAGAUACUGGAGAGAUUGAGGAUUGGUAGGGAUGCUGGAACAGUUAGUGUAGCAGUGAAAUGCGUUGAUAUUAACUGGAACACCGAUGGCGAAGGCAAGCAUCUGGACUCUUCCUGACGCUGAGGCACGAAAGCUAGGGUAGCGAAACAGAUUAGAUACCUGUGUAGUCCUAGCCGUAAACGAUGUCCGCUAGCUUUGUGCUGUUGAAGUACGAGGUGUAAGCUAACGCGUUAAGCGGACCGCCUGGGGAGUACGGCCGCAAGGCUAAAACUCAAAGGAAUUGACGGGGACCCGCACAACCGGUGGAGCGUGUGGUUCAAUUCGAGACAAAGCGAAAAACCUUACCAGGGUUUGACAUGCUAUCGUUUUAUACCUUUGGAAACAUUGGUAGAUCCGUAAGGAUGAUAGCACAGGUGUUGCAUGGCUGUCGUCAGCUCGUGCCGUGAGGUGUUCCCUUAAGUGGGGAAACGAGCGCAACCCCCGUGAAAUGUUACAUAUUCAUUUCAGACGGUCCCGAUUAUCUCGGGAAGGAAGGAGGGGAAGACGUCAAGUCCGCACGGCCCUUAUACCCUGGGUUACACACACCCUACAAUGGCGAAAAACAACGAGUUGCGAGCACGCGAGUGUAUGCUAAUCUCUCAAAUUUCGCCUCAGUUCAGAUUGGAGUCUGCAACCCGACUCCAUGAAGUCGGAAUCGGUAGUAAUCGCGGAUCAGCAGGCCGCGGUGAAUACGUUCUCGGGUCUUGUACACACCGCCCGUCACGCCAUGGAAG
Molecule: ribosomal RNA, 1270 nt
Filed under: uncultured bacterium
Lineage: Bacteria
Description: bacterial SSU rRNA
Rfam family: Bacterial small subunit ribosomal RNA
Source: RNAcentral